AACUUUCUCUUCCUGAGAUUGGAGGCAACAGCUGCGAUGCUGAAGGGGCAGAAAAGAUUCUCGCCCUCAUCCCCAGUCCCAUGACUGGAAACCUUGGGCAAGUCACUUGCCCCCUCUGGGAAGAAAGACACUGCUAGAUGCUGGCAGUACAGCAGUGAAUAAGACAGACACCGUCCUGGUCCUCGUGGACUUAAAAUCCAGUGGAAAAGAUGAACAUCACACAAAUACUUGUGAUGCGUCCCAGGCAAAUAAAAGCAGAGGGAGCCAUGAGAUCGUGCGCCUGGGGAACCCCUACACGCGGUGUGGAGGUUCCCAGAGAGAUACCUCAGACUUGAAGGGUGAGAAAGGGUUGGCCAAGGGUUCAAGUGAAGAAAGGAAUGUGGAACAAAAAAGAUUUCUGGCAGAGGAAACAGCAUGGGAGAAGAUGUGAAACAGGAAGACAGCCCAGCAUGGGCAGAGGGAGAAGAGAGAAUAUGAAGAAGGGUGAGGUAAGAAGGUGGCCCAGGGCAGACCUGGCAUGUUAAGACUUUUGGACUUUAUCCUAUUGGCAAUGGGAAGUCUUCAAAGGAUAUAUUAGGUUUUGUUUUGUUUGUUUGUUUGUUUGUUUUUCUUUUGUAUUUUUAGGGCUGCACCCAAGCCUGGGAACCUCCAUAUGCCGCAAGUGAGGCCCUAAAAAGAAAACAACAACAACAACAAAAAGAAGAUGAAGAGGGAGUGGAGAAGGGACUAAGACUUAUUUAGGACUUCCUGUGUGUCAGAUACCUCAUUAAGUAAUUCACAAGCAUGACCUUGUUUAAUCCUCACAGCAGCCCUAUACAGUAGAGCCUGUUCUUAGCUCCUUUUAUUAUAGAUGGACAUAGCGGAACCUAGGUUCAGAAGUCCCCUCAACCAGGGAGUUCCCGUUGUGGCACAGCAGAAACAAAUCUGACUAGUAUCCAUGAGCGUGUGGGUUCGAUCCCUGGCAUCACUCAGUAGGUUAAGGAUCUGGCACUGCUUCGAGCCACGGUGUAGGUCAUAGAUGCAGCUCGGAUCCCAUGUUGCUGUGGCCAUGGUAUAGGCUGGCAGCUAUAGCUUUGAUCUGACCCCUAAACUGAAGGGUCAAAAAAAAAUUACUGAGAGUGUGUGUUUGGUUAAUUUAGUUCCUCCCUUUAGUGGAAGACAGGGAUUGGGUCAACGUCAUUCUCUCAGAUUCCAUAUGCCACACCUGCAGUCCUAAAAAU
Molecule: long non-coding RNA, 1220 nt
Filed under: Sus scrofa (pig)
Lineage: Eukaryota; Metazoa; Chordata; Mammalia; Artiodactyla; Suidae
Description: lncRNA (ENSSSCG00000053664.1)
Source: RNAcentral